GCCUGCCCAGUGAUAUUUUUUAACGGCCGCGGUACUCUGACCGUGCGAAGGUAGCAUAAUCACUUGUUCUUUAAAUGAGGACUAGUAUCAACGGCAUCACGAGGAUUUUACUGUCUCCUUUUUCCUAUCGGUGAAACUGAUCUCCCCGUGAAGAAGCGGGGAUAAUUCUAUAAGACGAGAAGACCCCAUGGAGCUUUAAACCCAGAGACACCUCAAACCCCCCUUUCCAUAAAAGUUUUUAUGUGCUGUCCUCUGGUUUUAGGUUGGGGUGACCGCGGAGUAAAACUUAACCUCCACAACGCACGGAACUUCUUCCUUAUCUAAGAGCAACAUCUCAAAGAAUUGACAUAUUGACGUAAAAUGAUCCAAUAACUUUUAUUUUGAUCAACGAACCAAGUUACCCUGGGGAUAACAGCGCAAUCCAUUUCCAGAGCCCCUAUCGACAAAUGGGUUUACGACCUCGAUGUUGGAUCAGGGUAUCCCAGUGGUGCAGCCGCUACUAAUGG
RNAcentral lists this ribosomal RNA (506 nucleotides) under Minervarya asmati (Bangladeshi cricket frog). Its description in RNAcentral is "partial large subunit ribosomal RNA". It matches the Rfam family "Bacterial large subunit ribosomal RNA", at positions 1857 to 2571 of the family's 2925-position model. Lineage: Eukaryota; Metazoa; Chordata; Amphibia; Anura; Dicroglossidae. The record is from RNAcentral.